Molecule: RNA transcript, 746 nt
Organism: Antrostomus carolinensis (chuck-will's-widow)
Lineage: Eukaryota; Metazoa; Chordata; Aves; Caprimulgiformes; Caprimulgidae
Gene name: actin, gamma-enteric smooth muscle-like
Exons: 6
Source: RefSeq, a predicted model, not a curated record
UCAUGGUAGGCAUGGGACAGAAGGACAGCUAUGUGGGUGACGAGGCGCAGAGCAAGAGGGGGAUCCUCACGCUCAAGUACCCCAUCGAGCACGGCAUCAUCACCAACUGGGAUGAUAUGGAGAAGAUCUGGCACCACUCCUUCUACAACGAGCUGCGCGUGGCCCCCGAGGAGCACCCAACCCUGCUCACCGAGGCUCCCCUCAACCCCAAGGCCAACCGGGAGAAGAUGACCCAGAUCAUGUUUGAAACCUUUAACGUCCCCGCCAUGUACGUCGCCAUCCAAGCCGUCCUCUCCCUCUACGCCUCUGGCCGCACAACCGGCAUUGUCCUCGACUCCGGGGACGGCGUCACCCACAACGUGCCCAUCUACGAGGGCUACGCUCUGCCCCACGCCAUCAUGCGUCUCGACUUGGCUGGCCGUGACCUCACCGACUACCUCAUGAAGAUCCUCACCGAGAGGGGCUACUCCUUUGUCACCACCGCCGAGCGGGAAAUCGUGCGUGACAUCAAGGAGAAGCUCUGCUACGUGGCUCUUGACUUUGAGAAUGAGAUGGCCACGGCCGCCUCCUCAUCCUCACUGGGACAAACCCAUGGCUGACCCCAUGGGAGGGCCUGGAGGAGGCAUGGGUGGGGGUCAGGGUGCUGACAGCCCCCUUCCACCCCAGGCAUGGAGUCAGCUGGUAUUCAUGAGACGACCUACAACUCCAUCAUGAAGUGUGACAUCGACAUCCGCAAGGACCUCUAC